AUGCACCUUCUACGUAGGGAUGUCAACUGGUUGGAUUCGGGGUAGAUUUUCAAAAAUCCAAAUCCGAAACCGAACCCGAACCCGACAAAUUUUAAAAAUCCAUAUCCAAACCGUAGCCCCACUAAAAAUUCGAAACCCGAACCUGAACACGAACCCAAACCCGAAAAUCUGAACUGGAAAUAAUUAUUUCUCUUUUCAAUAUUUCAAAAUAUAUUACAUUAAAUCUAAAUUUUUAAAAUACAAAUUCAAAUAUAACAUCAAUUUAUUAUAUACAUGUUAUAUUUUCGGGUUUGGGUUCGAGGCGGAUACAGUCAAAAUUCAUAUCCGAAUUCAUAUCCAUCGACUUAUUGUUUUUGAUAUCCAUAUCUGAAACCAUAUCCGUUUAGCAUCAGAUAAAUCUGCUCCAUUCGGGUUCGGGAUCGAAUAAAAUUUCGGGUAUCCGAACCCAUUGACAUCGUUGCUCCU
Molecule: long non-coding RNA, 465 nt
Filed under: Ananas comosus (pineapple)
Lineage: Eukaryota; Viridiplantae; Streptophyta; Magnoliopsida; Poales; Bromeliaceae
Description: long non-coding RNA (ACOM_LNC023656)
Source: RNAcentral